Molecule: long non-coding RNA, 707 nt
Filed under: Nicotiana benthamiana
Lineage: Eukaryota; Viridiplantae; Streptophyta; Magnoliopsida; Solanales; Solanaceae
Description: long non-coding RNA (NBEN_LNC027409)
Source: RNAcentral
GGGAACGAACACCUAGGGAAAAGGUGAGGAAAUGGAGGAACGACAACAGAGAGAGAACGAAAAAUACAUUCUGCUUCAGCAUUUCAAGCUCGAUAAAAAGCUGAAUAAAUCAGCCAUUGAAAAAUCCCUUAAGCUCCAUAGCUCUCCUACCCAUAAGUCCCUUCUUUUGUCCGUUUUUAUCCAUUAAAAUACAGCUUCUUUUGCUUUGAAAUAGUAGCUAAAAAUACAGCACAUCAGCCACAAAACAGCCCUUCUCCACCACUGUUUAAUCCUCAAUACAAUCCUUAAACUUGCUCGAAAUUCCAGCCCCAAAACCCACGUCACAGAAGCUUCAAACAGUUCCGAUGUCGUUGCGUUUCACCUCUAAAGAAAGCGCCUAGAUCGUUUCUUCUCUUUUGAAUUUUUGACGGUUUUGAGUCGCCGACGAGUUCAUGUUUGAUGUUGAUUGUUUUAUUUCGUUCACUGUCUGUUGGAAUAAAUUUCUUUGUACGCUGGCUUGGAUUUUUUCCGAUAAUACAAGAAUUACGGCUUGGAAUGUCAGUCUUAAAUUUAGAAGGACGUUCAUGAAGAAUAUUACGCUUUUCUCCAUAAGAGGGGCUCAUGCAAAUCUUUAAAACUAUGGCUUUGGAUACAUGCACGAUGCUCAAUUUUUACAUAUUAUUGAGCAUAAUGAUUGUUAUCGUUCUAUGAACUUCCUUCAAGAUUAA